AGCAGCCGCGGUAAUUCCAGCUCCAAUAGCGUAUAUUAAAGUUGUUGCAGUUAAAAGCUCGUAGUUGAAUUUCGAGAUCGGCUUACUGGUCGUGCUUUUGUACGUACUGGUAAAUCGGUUUCUCCUUUCUGACGAACUUUAAUGCCAUUAAUUUGGUGUUUUAGGGAAUCAGGACUGUUACUUUGAAAAAAUUAGAGUGUUUAAAGCAGGCUCACGCUUGAAUACAUUAGCAUGGAAUAACGGAAUAGGACGUUUGAUUCUAUUUUGUUGGUUUCUAGGAUCGACGUAAUGAUUAAUAGGGAUAGUUGGGGGCAUUAGUAUUCAAUUGUCAGAGGUGAAAUUCUUGGAUUUAUUGAAGACUAACUACUGCGAAAGCAUUUGCCAAGGAUGUUUUCAUUAAUCAAUGAACGAAAGUUAGGGGAUCGAAGACGAAUCAGGAUACCGUCGUAGUCUUAACCAUAAACUAUGCCGACUAGGGAUCGGAUGAUGUUAAUUUUUUCAAUGACUCAUUCGGCGCCUU
RNAcentral lists this ribosomal RNA (520 nucleotides) under uncultured Glomus. RNAcentral's name for it is "SSU rRNA". It matches the Rfam family "Eukaryotic small subunit ribosomal RNA", at positions 569 to 1089 of the family's 1831-position model. The record is from RNAcentral. Lineage: Eukaryota; Fungi; Glomeromycota; Glomeromycetes; Glomerales; Glomeraceae.